AUAUUUGAAAUAUCUUUACCAGAAAAAAAAGGCUAUGACCGCACUAUUUCGUUAGUGGAGGCUACAGGCAAGCCUCCCUGAAGGCGGUAUUUCACCUUUGGGAUGUUUUCUGCUGGGUAGUGAGAGGAGGAAACUCCCAAAGUUUCGCUUUGGCUGGCGGCCUGCCAGUUCGUGCACCGUGGCAUUUACUCCUCUUGUGGCCGCGUGGCUCUGUGGGGUCAGCCGUGUACUCUGCACCGAAGUAUGCUGUGCUCCAACUGCUGCUAACUCUGGCGCUGGGAUGACGAGCAACCCAAAAAGAUGGGUCAGACGUUACUCUGCCUUUACCGGGUUUGAACUUGCAGCCACAAACGCCCUAACCACUGCACAGUGACCAUGCACCACAGGCCUGCGGGCCGCCACUGCCAGAUACCUACAGUUUGUUCUUACGUAAGCAUAUUCACACUUCCUUUGCCCUUUUAUUCUUGGACACCUACAGAUGUUCGUGCUGUCCUCUUUCACGCUCUUCUCCGUUUCUCCCUCCCCAUUCUGUUCCACAAAACAAUUUUCCCAUCUCCCGUCCGGGCAGGUCUCUCCGUCUCGUCCAUACUUCUCCUUUCCACGUUUCGUGUUUUCCCCUGAUCUCCUUCCCACCUCCUCCUGGUCCCGCCCCCCAUAACCUUCCCUUUAAUUUUCUGGUUCCCGCCACAGCAACGAACAGUCCGGCUGGCUGCCCUUCUGCCUUCGGAAUCGCCCGAGGCAAGGAUUUCAAACGCGAGGAACUAGCCGCGUCGACUCGUCCUCCCGGGUUUUCGAGGCUUUGGAACCUGCACGGUGGUCCUGCCGAGGAGGAUUAACAUUGAAGAAAAGGAAGCUGUUUCCACCUUGUUUCGAACCGAGGAAUUUUCGCGUGUGAGGCGAACUUGAUAACCACUUCACUAUGGAAACCAGUCAGCCUGGCUUCCUGCUCUAACCCUGAAAACCAUCGGUCCUGCCACUGCUGUUAAGCCCGAGUCUGUUUGGUUGAAAGGCGGGACGAAGUCAAGUCCCAGGUUCUCUUUCAAGGAAAACGCUUGAAGUGAGACCUUGGGUUUCUGAGGUGAAUAGAGGGGAGCCGCUGGCCUGGCUUCUCAUCCCAAGCUCUCCUCUCCCAGCCUGGCCAUUACAAGGACCCGGACUCCUGACCUCCCGUAUUUUAGGGGCUCAGUGCACAGCCACUUCUGCAAGCGUCCCUGGGUGCACACCAGACUCUGGGGGAUGAAAAGGCAAAUCCUAAGUAUGGAGACAGCGCCACAAAGUCUCCUGGAUUGGAAUCGAACCUGAGCAGUAGCGGUGAAAAAUCCAAAUCCCAUCCCACCGAUCCGAUCCCGGGGAAUCCACCCACACAGGAUCCCUGCUUCGGCCCCUGCAGAUGAAAACCCUGAAAGUCAAGGUGACAUUUCCCAGGCGGACAGAGCACAAGCGGAGGCGAUUCCCAGCGGCGCAGGGCUGAAUGCAGCCGCACAAGGCUCCCAGCCCUUGCCCUGCUGCUCACCACCUCUUCCAGCCUCAGCGACCCCUUGGGCCCUGACCACAAGGUGACUGGCCUGCGCCACACUCUAGUCCAGCUGGAGCCGUGUGUGUGGCAGAGCCAAGGCCGUGCUCUCUUUCUGAGCCUCGUUUGCUGAUGGGUAAGGUGCGGACUCGGCUCUCAGCGGGGGGGAGGGGCGGAGUCCCUCUACUUGGCGACUUCCGAAGUAGCUCCAGAGCUGUCCUGACGAUGGCACGGGGACGGGCUCCUUUGGUGUCCCCAUGGGCUCAUUAGGUGGAGCCUGAAACUCCUCACCUACGCGUCUUUGGCUCGGGUCCCAGGUGCAGCUGGUUUGUGUUCUUUGCGUUCUGUCAGGCAAAUAAAUACACCUGUUGCGCAAAUGUGCCGCCCAGGGAA
Herpailurus yagouaroundi (jaguarundi) is the source of this 1906-nucleotide long non-coding RNA. RefSeq lists it as uncharacterized. The record is from RefSeq and is a predicted model, not a curated record. Lineage: Eukaryota; Metazoa; Chordata; Mammalia; Carnivora; Felidae. The transcript is spliced from 2 exons.